Molecule: ribosomal RNA, 698 nt
Filed under: uncultured bacterium
Lineage: Bacteria
Description: bacterial SSU rRNA
Rfam family: Bacterial small subunit ribosomal RNA
Source: RNAcentral
GCAGUCGACGGUAGCACAGAGAGCUUGCUCUCGGGUGACGAGUGGCGGACGGGUGAGUAAUGCCUGGGAAACUGCCUGAUGGAGGGGGAUAACUACUGGAAACGGUAGCUAAUACCGCAUAACGUCGCAAGACCAAAGAGGGGGACCUUCGGGCCUCUUGCCAUCGGAUGUGCCCAGAUGGGAUUAGCUUGUUGGUGGGGUAACGGCUCACCAAGGCGACGAUCCCUAGCUGGUCUGAGAGGAUGACCAGCCACACUGGAACUGAGACACGGUCCAGACUCCUACGGGAGGCAGCAGUGGGGAAUAUUGCACAAUGGGCGCAAGCCUGAUGCAGCCAUGCCGCGUGUAUGAAGAAGGCCUUCGGGUUGUAAAGUACUUUCAGCGGGGAGGAAGGGAGUAAAGUUAAUACCUUUGCUCAUUGACGUUACCCGCAGAAGAAGCACCGGCUAACUCCGUGCCAGCAGCCGCGGUAAUACGGAGGGUGCAAGCGUUAAUCGGAAUUACUGGGCGUAAAGCGCACGCAGGCGGUUUGUUAAGUCAGAUGUGAAAUCCCCGGGCUCAACCUGGGAACUGCAUCUGAUACUGGCAAGCUUGAGUCUCGUAGAGGGGGGUAGAAUUCCAGGUGUAGCGGUGAAAUGCGUAGAGAUCUGGAGGAAUACCGGUGGCGAAGGCGGCCCCCUGGACGAAGACUGACGCUC